GGCUGGAUCACCUCCUUUUGAGCAUGACGUCAUUCGUCCUGUCGGGCGUCCUCACAAAUUACCUGCAUUCAGAGAUUCAUACCGGCACAGGUCGGUAUGCGAAGUCCCUUUUGGGGCCUUAGCUCAGCUGGGAGAGCACCUGCUUUGCAAGCAGGGGGUCGUCGGUUCGAUCCCGACAGGCUCCACCAUAUUGAGUGAAAAGACUUCGGGUCUGUAGCUCAGGUGGUUAGAGCGCACCCCUGAUAAGGGUGAGGUCGGUAGUUCGAGUCUACCCAGACCCACCACUCUGAAUGUAGUGCACACUUAAGAAUUUAUAUGGAUCAGCGUUGAGGCUGAGACAUGUUCUUUUAUAACUUGUGACGUAGCGAGCGUUUGAGAUAUCUAUCUAAACGUGUCGUUGAGGCUAAGGCGGGGACUUCGAGUCCCUAAAUAAUUGAGUCGUAUGUUCGCGUUGGUGGCUUUGUACCCCACACAACACGGCAUGUAACUCCGAGGCAACUUGGGGUUAUAUGGUCAAGCGAAUAAGCGCACACGGUGGAUGCCUUGGCA
This 549-nucleotide transfer RNA is filed under the name Xanthomonas sp. OT1. RNAcentral's name for it is "partial miscellaneous RNA". The stretch from base 208 to 281 matches the Rfam family "tRNA". Lineage: Bacteria; Pseudomonadati; Pseudomonadota; Gammaproteobacteria; Lysobacterales; Lysobacteraceae. The record is from RNAcentral.